This 429-nucleotide ribosomal RNA is filed under the name bacterium. RNAcentral describes it as "partial 16S ribosomal RNA". It matches the Rfam family "Bacterial small subunit ribosomal RNA", at positions 355 to 776 of the family's 1533-position model. The record is from RNAcentral.
UAGGGAAUCUUCGGCAAUGGGGACAACCCUGACCGAGCAACGCCGCGUGAGUGAAGAAGGUUUUCGGCUCGUAAAGCUCUGUUGUAAGAGAAGAACGUGUGUGAGAGUGGAAAGUUCACACAGUGACGGUAACUUACCAGAAAGGGACGGCUAACUACGUGCCAGCAGCCGCGGUAAUACGUAGGUCCCGAGCGUUGUCCGGAUUUAUUGGGCGUAAAGCGAGCGCAGGCGGUUUAAUAAGUCUGAAGUUAAAGGCAGUGGCUUAACCAUUGUUCGCUUUGGAAACUGUUAAACUUGAGUGCAGAAGGGGAGAGUGGAAUUCCAUGUGUAGCGGUGAAAUGCGUAGAUAUAUGGAGGAACACCGGUGGCGAAAGCGGCUCUCUGGUCUGUAACUGACGCUGAGGCUCGAAAGCGUGGGGAGCAAACAGG